Long non-coding RNA from Podarcis raffonei (Aeolian wall lizard), 1719 nucleotides. RefSeq lists it as uncharacterized. The record is from RefSeq and is a predicted model, not a curated record. Lineage: Eukaryota; Metazoa; Chordata; Lepidosauria; Squamata; Lacertidae. The transcript has 2 exons.
CAACAGCCCAAGAAAAUAUUUUUACUCCUAAGAGGCAUGUUACUUAAUAUUACUUAAUAUGCAUGUUACCUUUUUCAGUCUUCUUCUUUGGUUUCAGCUCUCUUGGGAGUCUUCUCCAGUCUUCACAAAAUAUACAAGUUUUAGUUAUUUUUAAUAGUUUAUGCUCCUUCACAUUAAAGGUAUUUCUAUGACCAAAGACAUUUUAUUCAGAACAGUAGCAAGACUUUCCCAUCCUGGCGCUUGCCAGUGGAGAUCAUGGGACUGUAGUCCAGCGAUUCAGGGACGUAGCAUGGAGGGAAUGGCCCCGGGCACAUUUUUCUGGAGGAUCCUGCUCACGCCAUCAUGCCAGCCCUGUGCCACUUUGCGAGGCUGGGAUCUGAUUUGAAUGAUUUGCUGGGUGAAUCAUUUCAGAUCAGAUCCCAGCAUCAUAAAGCAGUUCGAGGGUGGCAGGGUGGUUGUGAGACAAACAUAACAGCCAUGCACCCUUCGAUCCCAGCCUUGCAAAGUGAGGCCCAAGAUGGCCACUGGUGUCCCAGUUCCAGCUAUCAAGCUUCUGUUUGAAUGUGGAUAGUAUCAUUACUUGAGAAUUGGCAAUGCUGAGAAAAGGGAAUGGCAGAAGUUUGAUAUGUGGGCUAUUUACUGAGAAAUAUGGCCCUCAGUAUUUUGUACACAGCUCAAGAUGCACAUUUUGACUGAGAAGACCUGAAAUGACUCAGGGGAGUCAACAUAUACUAGACCAGGGAGGAGGAAACUUGUGCCUCUCUGACUGGUGCUUAACAAAAACUUCCUUUAUCCAUGACCACUGCUCAUGCUGAUUGAGUCCCACAAGUUCACUAGCCCUGUUCUAGACAAACUUGGCCUCACCACAAUUAUAGGCCCUCCAUCUUUCAAAUACCUGUGACAAAGGAAUGUGCUGUACUCCUGAGGGACCACUGGGAAGCAGUCCUUUCUCUGGAAAGAUGUGAAAAUAUGGGAAUGAGUCUAUCAGCUCUGAAUGAGUGUUUGUGGUUGGUUGAAGUGGAAAAGAAUUCUAGGUGUAAAUGCACUUUUUAAAAAAUACCACUCAGCUCUGGGUGAGAGGUAUUUAUUUAGGUUUACAUUUUUUACUAGCUGAAUAGCACAGAGGAACCUAAAACAAACAAUGAACCAACCAUGAAAUGAGUUUUACAUCUAAAUACUGGAAAACAAUGGAAAAUUCUAUGCCAAAAUUAACUGGAAUUUACGUUUCCUUACCUGGGGUCCAUUCUAGGUCCUUUUCAUUCAUCUGCAAGUAUUUUUUGCUGUAUCUUUCAACAGGUACAAAACCUGAAGACAAAAACCUAGAGUUGUGAAAUAUACAUACUAUAAAUUCAGACAAAGCCAAUGCAGAACCACAAUCUUUAUUUAGUUAAAAUGCACAAAGGACUAUUUUCAGGGGGGAAAUCCCUCUUCUGCUUUGCUCAUGAUAACAUAUUUGUGCAUUAAUUUUGUAUAAGGCUCUCAAGAAAAACCUUGGGGAUUUUAUGGGGAUAACCACCUUCGUUUGAAGGAUUUGGAUCACAAACAGAACUAGAAGACGGGUUAGAACAUGUCCAGAUCGGAGGGGUACAGAUUCAAUGGCACCUUAACACUGUUCUUCAAGAAAUUACUGAUUGCACCCUUAGUUACACAGGAUUAAUUCUAUUACAGAAAAAAUUGCAUGCACAAUACUUUCCAGAAUAAAAUGAUACGGCAAACUAA